GAUGAACGCUGGCGGCGUGCCUAAUACAUGCAAGUCGAGCGAACGGACCAGAAGCUUGCUUCUCUGAUGUUAGCGGCGGACGGGUGAGUAACACGUGGAUAACCUACCUAUAAGACUGGGAUAACUUCGGGAAACCGUAGCUAAUACCGGAUAAUAUUUUGAACCGCAUGGUUCAAAAGUGAAAGACGGCCUUGCUGUCACUUAUAGAUGGAUCCGCGCUGCAUUAGCUAGUUGGUAAGGUAACGGCUUACCAAGGCCACGAUGCAUAGCCGACCCGAGAGGGUGAUCGGCCACACUGGAACUGAGACACGGUCCAGACUCCUACGGGAGGCAGCAGUAGGGAAUCUUCCGCAAUGGGCGAAAGCCUGACGGAGCAACGCCGCGUGAGUGAUGAAGGUCUUCGGAUCGUAAAGCUCUGUUAUUAGGGAAGAACAUAUGUGUAAGUAACUGUGCUCAUCUUGACGGUACCUAAUCAGAAAGCCACGGCUAACUACGUG
This 497-nucleotide ribosomal RNA is filed under the name uncultured bacterium. Its description in RNAcentral is "partial 16S ribosomal RNA". It matches the Rfam family "Bacterial small subunit ribosomal RNA", at positions 28 to 507 of the family's 1533-position model. The record is from RNAcentral.